GGUUAAGCGACUAAGCGUACACGGUGGAUGCCCUGGCAGUCAGAGGCGAUGAAGGACGUGCUAAUCUGCGAUAAGCGUCGGUAAGGUGAUAUGAACCGUUAUAACCGGCGAUUUCCGAAUGGGGAAACCCAGUGUGAUUCGUCACACUAUCAUUAACUGAAUCCAUAGGUUAAUGAGGCGAACCGGGGGAACUGAAACAUCUAAGUACCCCGAGGAAAAGAAAUCAACCGAGAUUCCCCCAGUAGCGGCGAGCGAACGGGGAGCAGCCCAGAGCCUGAAUCAGUGUGUGUGUUAGUGGAAGCGUCUGGAAAGGCGCGCGAUACAGGGUGACAGCCCCGUACACAAAAAUGCACAUGCUGUGAGCUCGAUGAGUAGGGCGGGACACGUGGUAUCCUGUCUGAAUAUGGGGGGACCAUCCUCCAAGGCUAAAUACUCCUGACUGACCGAUAGUGAACCAGUACCGUGAGGGAAAGGCGAAAAGAACCCCGGCGAGGGGAGUGAAAAAGAACCUGAAACCGUGUACGUACAAGCAGUGGGAGCACGCUUAGGCGUGUGACUGCGUACCUUUUGUAUAAUGGGUCAGCGACUUAUAUUCUGUAGCAAGGUUAACCGAAUAGGGGAGCCGAAGGGAAACCGAGUCUUAACUGGGCGUUAAGUUGCAGGGUAUAGACCCGAAACCCGGUGAUCUAGCCAUGGGCAGGUUGAAGGUUGGGUAACACUAACUGGAGGACCGAACCGACUAAUGUUGAAAAAUUAGCGGAUGACUUGUGGCUGGGGGUGAAAGGCCAAUCAAACCGGGAGAUAGCUGGUUCUCCCCGAAAGCUAUUUAGGUAGCGCCUCGUGAAUUCAUCUCCGGGGGUAGAGCACUGUUUCGGCAAGGGGGUCAUCCCGACUUACCAACCCGAUGCAAACUGCGAAUACCGGAGAAUGUUAUCACGGGAGACACACGGCGGGUGCUAACGUCCGUCGUGAAGAGGGAAACAACCCAGACCGCCAGCUAAGGUCCCAAAGUCAUGGUUAAGUGGGAAACGAUGUGGGAAGGCCCAGACAGCCAGGAUGUUGGCUUAGAAGCAGCCAUCAUUUAAAGAAAGCGUAAUAGCUCACUGGUCGAGUCGGCCUGCGCGGAAGAUGUAACGGGGCUAAACCAUGCACCGAAGCUGCGGCAGCGACGCUGAUGCGUUGUUGGGUAGGGGAGCGUUCUGUAAGCCUGCGAAGGUGUGCUGUGAGGCAUGCUGGAGGUAUCAGAAGUGCGAAUGCUGACAUAAGUAACGAUAAAGCGGGUGAAAAGCCCGCUCGCCGGAAGACCAAGGGUUCCUGUCCAACGUUAAUCGGGGCAGGGUGAGUCGACCCCUAAGGCGAGGCCGAAAGGCGUAGUCGAUGGGAAACAGGUUAAUAUUCCUGUACUUGGUGUUACUGCGAAGGGGGGACGGAGAAGGCUAUGUUGGCCGGGCGACGGUUGUCCCGGUUUAAGCGUGUAGGCUGGUUUUCCAGGCAAAUCCGGAAAAUCAAGGCUGAGGCGUGAUGACGAGGCACUACGGUGCUGAAGCAACAAAUGCCCUGCUUCCAGGAAAAGCCUCUAAGCAUCAGGUAACAUCAAAUCGUACCCCAAACCGACACAGGUGGUCAGGUAGAGAAUACCAAGGCGCUUGAGAGAACUCGGGUGAAGGAACUAGGCAAAAUGGUGCCGUAACUUCGGGAGAAGGCACGCUGAUAUGUAGGUGAAGUCCCUCGCGGAUGGAGCUGAAAUCAGUCGAAGAUACCAGCUGGCUGCAACUGUUUAUUAAAAACACAGCACUGUGCAAACACGAAAGUGGACGUAUACGGUGUGACGCCUGCCCGGUGCCGGAAGGUUAAUUGAUGGGGUUAGCGCAAGCGAAGCUCUUGAUCGAAGCCCCGGUAAACGGCGGCCGUAACUAUAACGGUCCUAAGGUAGCGAAAUUCCUUGUCGGGUAAGUUCCGACCUGCACGAAUGGCGUAAUGAUGGCCAGGCUGUCUCCACCCGAGACUCAGUGAAAUUGAACUCGCUGUGAAGAUGCAGUGUACCCGCGGCAAGACGGAAAGACCCCGUGAACCUUUACUAUAGCUUGACACUGAACAUUGAGCCUUGAUGUGUAGGAUAGGUGGGAGGCUUUGAAGUGUGGACGCCAGUCUGCAUGGAGCCGACCUUGAAAUACCACCCUUUAAUGUUUGAUGUUCUAACGUGGACCCGUAAUCCGGGUUGCGGACAGUGUCUGGUGGGUAGUUUGACUGGGGCGGUCUCCUCCUAAAGAGUAACGGAGGAGCACGAAGGUUGGCUAAUCCUGGUCGGACAUCAGGAGGUUAGUGCAAUGGCAUAAGCCAGCUUGACUGCGAGCGUGACGGCGCGAGCAGGUGCGAAAGCAGGUCAUAGUGAUCCGGUGGUUCUGAAUGGAAGGGCCAUCGCUCAACGGAUAAAAGGUACUCCGGGGAUAACAGGCUGAUACCGCCCAAGAGUUCAUAUCGACGGCGGUGUUUGGCACCUCGAUGUCGGCUCAUCACAUCCUGGGGCUGAAGUAGGUCCCAAGGGUAUGGCUGUUCGCCAUUUAAAGUGGUACGCGAGCUGGGUUUAGAACGUCGUGAGACAGUUCGGUCCCUAUCUGCCGUGGGCGCUGGAGAAUUGAGGGGGGCUGCUCCUAGUACGAGAGGACCGGAGUGGACGCAUCACUGGUGUUCGGGUUGUCAUGCCAAUGGCACUGCCCGGUAGCUAAAUGCGGAAGAGAUAAGUGCUGAAAGCAUCUAAGCACGAAACUUGCCCCGAGAUGAGUUCUCCCUGACUCCUUGAGAGUCCUGAAGGAACGUUGAAGACGACGACGUUGAUAGGCCGGGUGUGUAAGCGCAGCGAUGCGUUGAGCUAACCGGUACUAAUGAACCGUGAGGCUUAACCUU
RNAcentral lists this ribosomal RNA (2904 nucleotides) under Escherichia coli. RNAcentral's name for it is "23S ribosomal RNA". It matches the Rfam family "Bacterial large subunit ribosomal RNA". The record is from RNAcentral. Lineage: Bacteria; Pseudomonadati; Pseudomonadota; Gammaproteobacteria; Enterobacterales; Enterobacteriaceae.